Molecule: ribosomal RNA, 488 nt
Filed under: uncultured bacterium
Lineage: Bacteria
Description: bacterial SSU rRNA
Rfam family: Bacterial small subunit ribosomal RNA
Source: RNAcentral
AUGAACGCUAGCGGCAGGCUUAACACAUGCAAGUCGAGGGGCAGCAUAAUGGAUAGCAAUAUCUAUGGUGGCGACCGGCGCACGGGUGCGUAACGCGUAUGCAACCUACCUUUAACAGGGGGAUAACACUGAGAAAUUGGUACUAAUACCCCAUAAUAUCAUAGAAGGCAUCUUUUAUGGUUGAAAAUUCCGAUGGUUAGAGAUGGGCAUGCGUUGUAUUAGCUAGUUGGUGACGGUAACGGCUCACCAAGGCGACGAUACAUAGGGGGACUGAGAGGUUAACCCCCCACACUGGUACUGAGACACGGACCAGACUCCUACGGGAGGCAGCAGUGAGGAAUAUUGGUCAAUGGACGCAAGUCUGAACCAGCCAUGCCGCGUGCAGGAUGACGGCUCUAUGAGUUGUAAACUGCUUUUGUACUAGGGUAAACUCACCUACGUGUAGGUGACUGAAAGUAUAGUACGAAUAAGGAUCGGCUAACUCCGUG